This 497-nucleotide ribosomal RNA is filed under the name uncultured bacterium. RNAcentral describes it as "partial 16S ribosomal RNA". It matches the Rfam family "Bacterial small subunit ribosomal RNA", at positions 28 to 507 of the family's 1533-position model. The record is from RNAcentral.
GAUGAACGCUGGCGGCGUGCCUAAUACAUGCAAGUCGAGCGAACGGACGAGAAGCUUGCUUCUCUGAUGUUAGCGGCGGACGGGUGAGUAACACGUGGAUAACCUACCUAUAAGACUGGGGUAACUUCGGGAAACCGUAGCUAAUACCGGAUAAUAUUUUGAACCGCAUGGUUCAAAAGUGAAAGACGGUCUUGCUGUCACUUAUAGAUGGAUCCGCGCUGCAUUAGCUAGUUGGUAAGGUAACGGCUUACCAAGGCAACGAUGCAUAGCCGACCUGAGAGGGUGAUCGGCCACACUGGAACUGAGACACGGUCCAGACUCCUACGGGAGGCAGCAGUAGGGAAUCUUCCGCAAUGGGCGAAAGCCUGACGGAGCAACGCCGCGUGAGUGAUGAAGGUCUUCGGAUCGUAAAACUCUGUUAUUAGGGAAGAACAUAUGUGUAAGUAACUGUGCACAUCUUGACUGUACCUAAUCAGAAAGCCACGGCUAACUACGUG